This 25-nucleotide non-coding RNA is filed under the name Mus musculus (house mouse). Lineage: Eukaryota; Metazoa; Chordata; Mammalia; Rodentia; Muridae. The record is from RNAcentral.
UGGAAGAAACUGCACUUGGCCUGUA